This 3509-nucleotide long non-coding RNA is filed under the name Mytilus galloprovincialis (Mediterranean mussel). The record is from RNAcentral. Lineage: Eukaryota; Metazoa; Mollusca; Bivalvia; Mytilida; Mytilidae.
UUUUUUUAUACAUUUCAUUUCAAUCUUUUUUGUUUAUAAAGAUACAUGAAGAAAACAAUGACACAAUGAUUUAAAUGAAUAUAAUACAAUGAUUACGACAUGAGGUAAUGACAUUAUAUACUCUUAAUGAUGAAAUAAUCCCUGAAAAAGAGUAUAUAUCAUACUGUUAAAACAAUUCUACAUUUGUAUCAAAAUAAUGAAAGAAAAUAGAAUACUUGGCUAAUGGUUUUAAGAUUGAUAUGAAACACCAAGUAAUAGCUGAGGGAACCCAUUUAGCAACAUCAAAAAUGCUGAUCUUCUUCUUCAUUCAAAUAUUAAAAUACCUCGUAAUCAUCAAAUCAAACUUGAGCAACAGAUUGAUUUCUAUCAGAUGAAAAAAUAAUUUUACAAGUAAAUCAUAUUUAUUAAAAUAUUGAACAAAAAAAAAAUUACAUUUAGAAGAGUUUUAAACCCUCAGUAUAUAUAUAUAUGUAUGAGUCAUACUUAUAUUUCUGAUGGUAGUUUAUGAAGCAUUAACAUGAAAAGUUGGCUUGACCAAAGACAAAACUUGACACAAAUGUAGAACUGGUUUGACAAUCAAAGACCUAGCCAACACUGAGAAACUACUACUAUAACAUAAUGAAAGCUUAAGAAAACAAUAUCGUUCUUUGACACAACUUGCACAUACAACAGAAUUCAUUGCAAUUAUUAAAAAGAAAUUCAUGGUUUUACCGCAUCAGAACAUAUGUAGCAAAAACAACAACAAAAAGAAACUUGAGGCCCAAAGAAGCUUGUACUGCUCACCUGACAACUGUGCAUAGUACUUACUCAAUCUGAUAAAUAUUUUCUAGAAUAGGACCAUAAUUGAAACAUUUAUCUAAAUUUGACUAAUUUUUAAUGUUUAACCAGAUAUUUAAGUUGUAAACUAUUCAUCAUUUCCUUCCAAUUGCCUUAAGUUUUCAAAAAGUUAUUAUUUUCUGAUCAAGUUCUAUGAAUGGAAGUGAGCAUCUAUGAUUUUAGGUGAGGCAUUUUUAUGAAAAACUUAAUUUGAAAGAAAACAUUGGAAAUCAAUCUUGUAAAACUUAUUAAAACUGUAAUAUUAUGUAUAGAUAGAUUUUUAAAAGAAUUCCCAAAAGUUUCUUACAUACUAGUAAUAGAGGUCACACAGCUGGUUUUUCAAUGCUUUCCAUUGGAUAGAUUUUAGAAAUUUAACACUCAAAGGAUGAUUGAGGUUACUGAUUUCAGAAAGGCAAAUACAUUGAAAAAGUUUAUGGACAGGUGUCAAGUGAUAGCAAUAACUCAUUUUGGCUUCAUAACCAAAGCUAAAAAUGUUCAAACUGAAAAUAAAAUUUCUUACAGUAGCUAUUUUCAUGUAAGCAAUUAUACAUAAGGAAAAGAAACAGGGUUAAGUGAUUCAGAGUUUUAAUUUUUAUCAUGAAAAUGCCCAUUGUAUUAAAAAAUCAAAUUUAAAUUUGAUUUGAAAUGAAAAAUUUCAAUCCAUAUUCGUGUGCCUCAUUUUAAAUAAUUUUAAAUAUUUUUUAGAGAGAUUGUCCUUGAACAGUUCAUAAAUAGGACGGAACGAUACUGUCUUAAAUAAUGGCUUUCAACCGGUUACAUUAUUUGAGGUAGAUUAUGAAUGCAUCUGUUAUUUUGAGCCAUAGUGUACUCUGCAAUUGGCUGAAUAUUAUAUGUAUGCACUUAUAACACUUAAUUAAUGUCGUGAAUUAUUCUAUCAAUGCAAUUUGAUACUCAAAAAUUUCAAAGCACAAUAUUAAUACCUUUUUAUAGAGAUGUCUAAAAACAUAUAACACUGUGUGUUUCAUUUUAGUAAACUUUUCCUCUAUUAAAAAUAUCAUUAUUAUAUAAAUCUUUCAUCAUAUCAAUGUUCUGAAAUUCUUUGUGAUGCUACAAAUUCACAAGAAAUUGUCGAUGGUGUCCUUUGUAUACAUUACACUUCUUUCCGUUUUUAAACAUGAUUUUUUUUGGACUUGAAUAUUAUAAACAGCCAAUAGCAAAUACAUUUUACCAUACAAUCAAAUGUAUAAAUUUUAUGAAUGAUUUGAUAAUAGGUUACAAACAACAUUUGUAACAAGAUAUUGUAUAAGUCAAUUUAAUUUUAAAUUUUUUCCUUCCAUUUACAAGUUUAAAAUGAAAAUGACAUGCAAUUUAAUGUUAUAUGAAUUAAAAACAUGAUUUAAUGCCACAGUCCUUAUAUACAAUUAAGGAAACACAAAUUUAUGGCAGUGUUCUGAAAUGCUUUACAAAAUAUUCAAUGCCAUUGCAUUUUAAAGACAAUAAGCAAAAUAUGGAGAAAAUUAAAAAAAUUAGCAUAAAUAAUCAUUGUAAAUUGCUUUUUCUUUUUCCUAUAGUUCCAAAAACUUUUACAGGCUAAAGAUAUUGAUGAAAUAAAACCAAAUUUUGGGAAAUAAAUAUGACAAUUAAGACAUUAAAUCUCCUAUGAUUUAUAAAAUAACAGUAAUAUAACUUCCUGCAUUGGUAACGUAAAUAAUCACACUGAAAAUAUAUCCCUAAAAUGCAUGUAGUUCUGUAUUUCUUGUAUGUGUUUGUGUAGCAAUUCAAACAAAAUAAACAACUAUACAAUACACUAUAUAAUGUAACAAAUGAGGUAGAAAGUCUGCUCGCUCACUUUUACACGUUAAAGGAAAUUAGUUUUUUCAUUGUUCUUUUAAUCAUUCAUGUUUCUAAACAGUGUAACAAUAUAUAAAAUUGAUCAAAACAGUAAGCAUACUACAUACAACCUUGAUGGUAGCACUGUGCUAUCUUUUGAGUAUGUAGGAAGAACAAUUACAUAUUCAAGGAGCUAACUCUCAGAAAAUAAUUCUUUGAGUUAUUUCACAUUUAUAACAUUGUUUAGAGACACAAAAUUAAGUUAUAUUUCUUAACAAAUAGAAAGUGAAACAAGCAAAUAAGAAUGAAAACAUGACAACAAGUUAGACAACCUUUACAAUAGUAUAUAUAUAUCAUACAAAUAAUACAUUCACCUCCAGGAAUCAUGUGAGGUCAGCAAUAUUCUAUAGACUACAGACACACGUUUUAGGAAGCUAGAUUAAGAUAAAAUGUGCACCUUUUAAUUAUUACGAACAUUCAGAAUAUUAAGUUAUAUAAUUUAAAACUUGAUUAUUUUUCACAAAGUUAUUUUGAACCUUAAAUAUUUCUUUUUCUUCCAUGUAUCACAUAUGUCAUCUGAAAUGAAUUCAAUCUAAUGCAUAAUAACUUACCGUUAUGGUGUGCAUCAAAAUUUACAAUAUACGAAAAAAUGAUAAUGCAUUGAAUACCACCUCUAUUUAGUUGGGAGAUACCUGCUUCUGUAAAAGGCUUCAUGUGUAUCGAUGCUGCCUUAUGAAUGAAUUCUCACACAUCCUAUUUUUUUUCAAAUAAAGAAAAAGUAAAUAAAAACUUGACAGAACAAUAUUCCACAAUUUCCACAAUUUCAAAAAAAAAAUCAGCAAGAUAUGGCACAAAGAAAAAAACUUAAAAUUAAAAUUUUGUAGCACUUCAAAGGGUUUUAG